Molecule: ribosomal RNA, 253 nt
Filed under: uncultured bacterium
Lineage: Bacteria
Description: partial 16S ribosomal RNA
Rfam family: Bacterial small subunit ribosomal RNA
Source: RNAcentral
UACGGUGGAGGCAAGCGUUAUCCGGAAUUAUUGGGCGUAAAGCGUCCGUAGGUGGUGAUCCAAGUCUUUUGUCAAAGCGCGAGGCUUAACUUCGUACCGGCAGGAGAAACUGGGUGACUAGAGUGCGGUAGGGGUCAGGGGAAUUCCCAGUGUAGCGGUGAAAUGCGUAGAUAUUGGGAAGAACACCGGUGGCGAAAGCGCCUGACUGGGCCUGCACUGACACUGAGGGACGAAAGCUAGGGGAGCGAAAGGG